Molecule: long non-coding RNA, 540 nt
Organism: Toxorhynchites rutilus septentrionalis
Lineage: Eukaryota; Metazoa; Arthropoda; Insecta; Diptera; Culicidae
Exons: 4
Source: RefSeq, a predicted model, not a curated record
UAGUGAAUAGGUGAUUUAUCCGACUAAAGCGGGUCGAUAUCUCCCAAUGUUUUCAUCGUACGCGUAUUUUGUUGUGGUCUAGUUCUUAUUCGGUUUUCGCACACCAUCUGUCCCAUUAGAACCAACUAGGAAACAUGUGAGGUCCUAGGCCUAUUCGGAGUAAUCAUGUGGUCUCUUCUCUUUCUUAACUUUGGCCACCUAUGAGCAGAACGGACAAAAAUAACUGAUAGUGCUCUUGGUCGUACAUCAUGUGUCUAUCGGCUUAAAAUCUGCCGCGGAGAAAAUACCUAUGGGUUUUCCACCCUCGUCUUCCAAAUCAUAACAAUUUGUGCCAACUCUCGCGAUUACUGUACAUGGAACGUAACAAGGACCGAAUUUGGCAUUGUAGUUACUUGGCGCUGACGACUGCCUAAAAUUUCUUUUGAGAACUUUCUGUCCUACUGAGUAUGAAGGUUUCUUCGAACCAGGUCGUAAAUAAAGUGAUCGAUGGCGUUUUUGGUUAUCAUUCUUUCCUUUUCCGAAAUAUCCAGUUCAUCGAGA